RNAcentral lists this ribosomal RNA (244 nucleotides) under uncultured bacterium. RNAcentral describes it as "partial small subunit ribosomal RNA". It matches the Rfam family "Bacterial small subunit ribosomal RNA", at positions 26 to 288 of the family's 1533-position model. The record is from RNAcentral.
AGAAUCAACGCUGGCGGCGUGCCUAACACAUGCAAGUCGAACGAGAAAGUGGAGCAAUCCAUGAGUAAAGUGGCGACCGGGUGAGUAACACGUGACUACCUACCCUUGAGUGGGGAUAACCUCGGGAAACCGAGGCUAAUACCGCAUAAUAUCGAAAGAUCAAAGGAGUAAUCCGCUUUUUGGAGGGGUCGCGGCUGAUUAGCUAGUUGGUAGGUAAUGGCCUACCAAGCGAAGAUCGGUAUCC